Molecule: transfer RNA, 74 nt
Filed under: Candidatus Woesearchaeota archaeon
Lineage: Archaea; Nanobdellati; Candidatus Woesearchaeota
Description: tRNA-Ile
Rfam family: tRNA
About the family: Transfer RNA (tRNA) molecules are approximately 80 nucleotides in length. Their secondary structure includes four short double-helical elements and three loops (D, anti-codon, and T loops).
Source: RNAcentral
GAGCCCGUAGCUUAGUCUGGUGGAGUGCUCGACUGAUAAUCGAGUGGUCCCGUGUUCAAAUCACGGCGGGCUCA